This 4634-nucleotide long non-coding RNA is filed under the name Androctonus crassicauda. The record is from RNAcentral. Lineage: Eukaryota; Metazoa; Arthropoda; Arachnida; Scorpiones; Buthidae.
GUUAUCCGGAAAAAUUUAUUUCGGUUUACCGGAAAUUUUUACCGGUAAAAAUUUUGACCGAAUGCUUUGGUUCUAUAAUUAACCCCAUUGACUUUAAAAUUCCGUUCUAAAUCGGAGAAGAAAUAAUCAAGUUUCUACAAUUAUUUAUUUUCCAAUUGUGCUAAAAAUGUAACGGAUAUUAUUCGAUUUGCACAAAAAGAAUGUUUGGUUACGGUUUUGUCUACAGUCCGAAACUAUAUUCCCACUUGAAACGAUCAGACACACACACAUGCACAUUGGUGAUGCAAAGUCAUAAUAUGUGCAAGAAUUGAAACUUGACGGAUGUAUUACAAAAUUUCUACUUUUCUAUUUUAUUAAAUAUAUAGUGUGUCGUUGUUGAUUUUCGUGUUGAAUUUCCUUGGGAAUUUUUAGACAACAUUGAAAACACUAGUCCAUAGUUUUGUUUAUCCUUGGGCAUUUUGCCAUUUCUUCCCUAGACUGACUUGUACUCUCUUCCUCGUCGACACUUUGCUUUUUUUAUAGACACUGCUGUCUUUAAAUAUAUAUUUAUAUACACAAACGGAGAAUAACAUCGAAUAAUAACACAUUAACGGUAUUUGAUACACACACUCACACAAAGAAAAAAAACAAAAGAGAAAAAAAAGAAAAAAAAAGAAAGGUAAUUUAUGUAGGACAAAAUAUUGGGACGUUAGUAGAGCAGAGUGGAUGGUAACGAUCAAAAUCUAAGCUUUAUUUUAGCAAAAAAACUGCAAGAAAAACAGAUAAAAAUGGGCAUUAUAAUCUGUCUGGUUGUGAUUAGACUCGCAUUCCCAUCAAGAGGGGUGAGGUAGAUUUUGCUGGGUGAAGUACAAGUACGGAAUGGCACAUUACGAGACAAGUACUGAAAGGGUUGAGAUCGAUAAUGACUAAAGCUUGUGUUGAGAUUUUACGCGCGGUCUGCAGCGACUAAGGAAACGCUGUGUAGUCGACUGAAUGCAAUGCAGAAUUAAUUUUUUUUUUUUUUUCCGUCCGGCAGAGCGGACAGUUACUUGCGCGUAUCUGAUAAUAAAAAGUAUACACAUUUACGCAGGCCCGAUCUUUUUUGUGGGAUAAAAUGCGCUGGCUUUAAGAAAUUGUAGAAGGGAGAAACUUUGCUGACAGUCAUGAUUGAUGGGUAUCCCAUAAGAUUGAUUACUUAAGUAAGAACGGUAAUAAGCGAAUGGGGACUGGACGUGUGCUGUAUUAAAGGCUGACGACUCCGUCCUUUUCCAUAAUCUCUGGUUCCGAAAGGCCCCGGAAAAAAGCGUAAUUAAUGAGGUAUUUACCGUUCUUAACUAGAAGAUUAUUUAUUGGCGCCGGUAACACAGGUAACAAUGGUUCCUUUUAAUGAAAAAGGCAGCGAUAAACAAGUGCAUCAGACACAACAAUGUAACGAGAGAAGUCUUCCCAAACAUGUGACGUCGACCGAUCCCAAGGUCAGCGCGCCGCUCGAUUUCCAAAAGGCCGGCCAUCCCAGAUUCUAUUUCGUUUUUAAUCAGUCCGGCUGCAACCGAGCUGUCCACUCGCAGUUCAGUCGAUGCCAAGCAAUUUCGUGUCAACCCUAGUUCAAGUUGGUCACGUGACACGUCUAGCAGGAUAACGUUAUCAUUCUCCAUAAAUUUCAAUGGGAGAUAAAAACUGGGGAGCGUUAGCUAUGCGGUGCUAGCUGGCUGGCUGCUGGCUGUUGGCUGGCUGGCUUGCAGUGCCACACAGUGGAGAACGGCUGGCGUACGAGCCGCCAUGAUGGAAAAGACACUGACGCCAAGUAAGUAAGCUAGGCUUAAAAAACUAACCGCCUUUGCCUUAAUGGCUUAGAUAGACGGUCGGAUUUCGGGUCAAUGACUCUCGGGGUCGGGUGGACUGCAUGAUUGGCGGGUGUGGCGGUAAAGUAUACGUACAGGAACGACGCGUACCGUCCAUUUGUUAAAAGGGUAGUGUUGGCCACUGCUUUCAACCCUUUGAACACUGGUCGGAGCGCGUGUGCGUCAUGCCGUUGUUUAUUGUCGGCUCUCAGUCGCAUGGUGAAUAAAGCAUCACAAAUAUUCCCUCACUCAUUCGAAUGUGUGCAAAUUUUUCCGAUUCGUAAUUUUUUAAUAAGCCUUUGAUUAAUUUUUUGCAUGCGGUGCGAAAGGGGUCUUUGAUAAUCGGAUCGAAUCAGUCGAGACUGUGUCAGCUAGUUGUCCUUAAACCGUCUUUAGCAUGUUCGCUAGUUCGGAUAGCCUUGGAAGGACUCUGUCUAGACGAGACAGCCAUUACAGGUAUACGCACACCAGUGCACACGUACAGUCAACCAGUCUCGCACUCGCGUUUACCCCACGCACGCACACCUUCGCUCCACUGUCUGGCUCGUAGACGUAGAACACGUGACACGCUAACAGUUGGUAUUAUAACCAGUACAUACGAAUUUUACCAUGCGGCAUACGGUGGUCAGAAUGGACUGAAUAGCAACUUUAACCAAAUCUCUCACAGCUUAGACGCCAUGACACUACUUCGCGAUGCUAGAAUCACCAGAGACAGUACUUGUUGGGAAGCUAUGGAACGCCAAGGCAUAGGCUGUGUGGCCCCCGUCAUCUCCCUUCAGAAACUGAAGAACUUUCUAGUACAGCCCAAGUUCAGAUCCUUAACUCAACAUGGUAAGUUCACCGUCCACUGGUUUAUCUCUGUGUGUGUGUGUGUCUGUAACAUAGCAUACGCGUCGUCGCUUAACCCUUUGUCGACUAAAGAUGGCAGCCAGUGGAUAGAUUGGUUUACGUGUGCUCUUUCGCCAACCAGCAAUUUUUUACAGCCCUGGCCAAUCUGACCAACUUUUAUAAUUAGAAGGUCACAAGCCAUUUCAUGUGGUGGAAAAAUAAAGUAAAUAAAAACAAGUAUCCGGUGGAUCCGACCACGUGAUCCGACCGGUAGGGAUGGUGACCUCAUCCGCACAAACAAUUCAUUCCAUACAUUAUUUUUGCAUUUAUAAAUUCAAUAAACCAUGGCCCAAUGAGCUAAUAAUCAGUGCAAAGGCGCCAUUUAUGAAUAGAAAUAUCGGGCCUGUAAAUAAGAGGCCGUAAUAGUAAUUAGAGUGGGCCUAAAGGUUACAUUUUAGAUUUAUGAGUACAUAGCAGGUUUAUGCGGCUUAUUCCAUCUGUUUCGUCUACUAUUCCAGACGGAUCUGGAGCAACACAACACGUCUGGACUGACGCGUCUGUUUACCGUCAAUACAAUAUAUUUCCAGCCUAGUCCAUUCGUAAUUUAAGUUUUUAAUUCCGUGUUUUUCCGGUCCAUAAUCAUAUUUAAUGCUUUUUGGACGGAGGAUCUUCUACAUUUUAAGCAGCUUACGUCUGUCUAGCAUUUCAGCAGAGUUGUGGACGUAAGAAAUCCGACUAAUCUUCUAACUCGCUUUGACUUUUGCUAUACUAAUCUCACGAAAAGGAGAUUACCCGAGACUCUAAGCUAAUUAGUAUUUGCUGUGCGAUAUUCCCGAAUAAGAUCGAUGCGCAGCUCUGAUCCACUCUCCAUCAAUUAGGCGCAUUUUACACGAUUCAUAACUUCCGUUUUUUGCCUCUAAUCUUUAAUUUAAAAUUACAAAAUCAGCGAAGUAAUUGUGAAUUUCCCAAUAAAAACCUAAUCCAGAUUGUCUCUUCCCCCUUCCUUCGAUCUUUUUUUAUUUUUUUUAAAUUUUUUUUUUUUUGUUGCGCAGAAAGUUGAUAGUUUUUCCUCCGUCUGCUUUUUUUAUUGCUGACAAAUAUUUCCUCGUACGUCUGGAAUAACAAUGCGACCCAAUUGUGUCCUCGAUUCUAACCAGAGAAAACCGGUAAAGUUUUUGUAAACAUUUCUUUUAAUAACAUUUCCACCUUUCCUGGAAAAAAGGGCCUUUUUAUUCUCGUCUACGCCACGGCAUAACAGAUUUCAGUUCGGCACUGCAGCUGCCAUCUAUGUAGACCAUCUGGACUGAUUUAAAAUAGAUUAGGCCUGACAAAUAACAUAAUCUGUUUAAUUUUAAUUUUGUUUCAGGCCUCUUUUACUUUUUCACGCGUCCUCAGGUGAGAAAGUAGGCUGAUAGCAUCUCCAUUAAUAUAUAUCAAUGGGAUAUUGUGCCCUCUUUUUAAUUAUUUCUUUCUUCGCUAAUCGUUAUUUGUUCUGGAUGGGUGAAGUGCGUGAGGCCUGAUUCACUUCUUAUAGAUGCUAUUAUAUCUACUGUCAAAACGAGCGAAACUGGAGAGCGGAGAAUAUUUUUUAACUUUUUUUUAUUUUUUGUUUUCUUCAGCAUCUGCUUUAAAAAGUGCGAAUUGCAAAUUUUAAAUAUCCCAUUCGAUUAUUAUAAAUAAACAUUGUGAAUGCUUGAGUAAAAAUAGCCAGUUUAAAGUUUGUUAUUUAAAUAAACGCUGAAAUUUUUCCAGUUGUUUUUUUUUUCCGGGCAGGGAAUCGGAUCUUUGUUUUCAAAUGGAAUGACAUUCGGUUUAGAGUUGCUUUUAAUUCUAAUUCAGAAUGGAGAAAAAAAUUUUUUUAAGUCUAGCGAUUACAUAAUAGAUCCUACUUUGUAAACCAAGUCUAGAUAUAUGUGUGCUUCAGCAUUAAAAAAAAAAAAAAAAAAAAAAUUAAAAAUUCCAAAUGAAGCAAGAGUUAUAAUGAUG